GACGAACGCUGGCGGCGUGCUUAACACAUGCAAGUCGAACGGAAAGGCCCUGCUUGCAGGGUACUCGAGUGGCGAACGGGUGAGUAACACGUGGGUGAUCUGCCCUGCACUUCGGGAUAAGCCUGGGAAACUGGGUCUAAUACCGGAUAGGAGCUAUUUUUAGUGUGAUGGUUGGAAAGUUUUUUCGGUGUAGGAUGGGCUUGCGGCCUAUCAGCUUGUUGGUGGGGUAAUGGCCUACCAAGGCGGCGACGGGUAGCCGGCCUGAGAGGGUGGACGGCCACAUUGGGACUGAGAUACGGCCCAGACUCCUACGGGAGGCAGCAGUGGGGAAUAUUGCACAAUGGGCGCAAGCCUGAUGCAGCGACGCCGCGGGGGGGAUGACGGCCUUCGGGUUGUAAACUCCUUUCGCUAGGGACGAAGCUUUUUGUGACGGUACCUAGAUAAGAAGCACCGGCUAACUACGUG
This 465-nucleotide ribosomal RNA is filed under the name uncultured bacterium. RNAcentral's name for it is "partial 16S ribosomal RNA". It matches the Rfam family "Bacterial small subunit ribosomal RNA", at positions 28 to 507 of the family's 1533-position model. The record is from RNAcentral.